RNAcentral lists this ribosomal RNA (808 nucleotides) under uncultured cyanobacterium. RNAcentral's name for it is "bacterial SSU rRNA". It matches the Rfam family "Bacterial small subunit ribosomal RNA", at positions 33 to 887 of the family's 1533-position model. The record is from RNAcentral. Lineage: Bacteria; Bacillati; Cyanobacteriota.
ACGCUGGCGGCGUGCUUAACACAUGCAAGUCGAACGAACCUUCGGGUUAGUGGCGGACGGGUGAGUAACGCGUGAGAAUCUGCCCUCAGGAGGGGGAUAACGGUUGGAAACGACCGCUAAUACCCCAUAUGCCUACUGGUGAAAUGAAUUUCGCCUGAGGAUGAGCUCGCGUCUGAUUAGCUUGUUGGUGAGGUAAUGGCUCACCAAGGCUUCGAUCAGUAGCUGGUCUGAGAGGAUGAUCAGCCACACUGGGACUGAGACACGGCCCAGACUCCUACGGGAGGCAGCAGUGGGGAAUUUUCCGCAAUGGGCGAAAGCCUGACGGAGCAACGCCGCGUGAGGGACGAAGGCCUCUGGGCUGUAAACCUCUUUUCUCAAGGAAGAAGAUAUGACGGUACUUGAGGAAUAAGCCACGGCUAAUUCCGUGCCAGCAGCCGCGGUAAUACGGGAGUGGCAAGCGUUAUCCGGAAUUAUUGGGCGUAAAGCGUCCGCAGGCGGCUUUUCAAGUCUGCUGUUAAAGCGUGGAGCUUAACUCCAUCAUGGCAGUGGAAACUGAAAGGCUUGAGUAUGGUAGGGGCAGAGGGAAUUCCCGGUGUAGCGGUGAAAUGCGUAGAUAUCGGGAAGAACACCAGUGGCGAAGGCGCUCUGCUGGGCCAUUACUGACGCUCAUGGACGAAAGCCAGGGGAGCGAAAGGGAUUAGAUACCCCUGUAGUCCUGGCCGUAAACGAUGAACACUAGGUGUCGGGGGAAUCGACCCCUUCGGUGUCGUAGCUAACGCGUUAAGUGUUCCGCCUGGGGAGUACGCAC